GAAAUUAGGGAUCCUGUCCCAUCCUUCCAUCCAUCCAAUCCCUCACCCGCCACCACCACUCUCUCCCUUGGGAUUCUCCCAGAUCCCCUCCUCAUCUCCUCCCACAGCAACCACCGAUCCACCUCGUCUUCAACACCGGGCCAACCAGCGCCCGAGCCCGAGCUCCACUCGAUCCCUCUCCUUCCCGAUGACAUGGACAUGCCGCCGUCGCCUGUAGCUUCCACGCCCGCCGACCACGACCAGCUCUGCCAGGCCGGCCUCGCCCCUUGCCUUCCCUCCUUCCUUUUCUUUCUCCCUCUCUCUUUUCUUACGUCUCUCCUUGUCAUGACAAGAGCAGCCAUGGCGCCCGAGCGCCUCGUGUUUGUCAGCCCGUCAGAUGGAUUCAGCUCACGCCCCUCUCUCUGGACCUGCAGGAAACAUGGAGCCCGAAGCCAUGGCCGCGCCUCCCAUUUUACUCGACCCCGGCGUUGCCAAGUUCCUUGUCGCAGGACGCCGAUGCCCUGCCUUAAGCCACUACCGCCGGUCACCGAGGCCACCCUGUCCUCGAUCUGGACCGCUCGAGUGACCAUGCUUGUUGAAGCUGUCGCUCCACGAGUCAUUGGACCUCGCUGGAUUUCGCUGCCAGGUCCAUGCCGCCCUUGCCUCCACUCCGUCAGCAUGCACCACCGGAGCCCCGAUUUUGUUACAGCCCCAAGCGCCUCACCUCUGCACCCGCCCUGAUGGCCUCCUCUACCCCGGGAUAUUCUCCCAUGGAUCCCUCCUUCUCCUCGCGUCAAGCACCAGCGCUCUAGGGCCGGCCUUCCAUUGUUCGUCCUCAUCGUCUCUCGCAACACCGGCGCUCCCGGCAGCCGCGCCGCUCGAUCCACCUCACCGACGACAGCACUAGCAGGUCCCGGCCAUGGAUGCCAGAGCACGAGCUCCCUCCUCCUCGUUGCACGCAUCACCCGUCGGAGUCGCCCCGGUCGCCGCCUCGCCAAGCUCCGUCGCCGCCGGUGACCUUCGCGUCGAGAUGCCGGAGUUCACGCCCCCCUGCACCUGCAUCGUGCCUCUUCCGUCCUCUGCAUUGAAGCAGUUGCAGAGGAGGAUGAGCACCUCGAACCCCCUUGUAUCGCUCGCGUUGACCGCGCCAGCGCGUGGGUCACGCCAGCGCGUGGGUCCGACCUGCUGCUUCCUCCUCCACCCACCGGGCCCGCCUCUGUGUCGGGGUUGUGUCUACCUCCUCAUUUGGUAGCUACGCGGCGACCUUUGGGGCACGGUAGUUUCGACCAUUCUCUCUUAUGAUUGCGUAACAGGAUGAAUUACUAAUUGUAGUGCAUAAAUCAUGUUUCAUUAGCAUAUUUAGCACAUCACCAGACACGAAUGUCCCUUCUAUGUGAAAACAUGAACCUUUUAAAAUAACUUGAAAACUUUUUGAAUUUUUGAUUGGUUUUUGAAAAGGAAACACAUUUUAAAUUCAGAUUUUUUUAAAUGUGUUUCUUUAAACUCGAUCAUUAUCCUGAAUUUGCGAACAUUGCACCAAAACAAGAAUAUUUUUCAUAUUUCAAACAUUUUUAAAAUGAUUUUUUUGGAAAAUAUCAAAUAACUUUGGAAAACACAAGAAAAAAUGGAACGUGUAUAAAAAUAUAUACCAAUUUUGGAAUGAGAACAUUUUUUGUAUUCCAAACAUUUUUUGUAUUUCAAACAUUUUUCAAAACAUAAUAUAUUUUUAAAUUUUUGACAUUUUUUAAAAAAUCUAAUUUUCCAAAUAAUAUGAACUUUUUUGAAAAUUUUGAAUUUAUGAGAAAAGGAGUAAGAAAAAUAAAUUUGAAAGGAAAAAGACAAAAGAAACGGGAAAGAAAAAAAAGAAAAAUACAAACAUAACACAGACCAAAAGGAAGAAAACGGCUCACGGAAGUUUGGGCGCCCUAAGCGGAUUUGUGACUAUUUUAGAAUGAGAGCAAAGAUUUAAUGUUCCCAAAAAAUUUCAAACUGGAAUAUAUUUCAAAAUUCGAAUUUUUCUGGUAUUAUGAACUUUUUUGAAAAUUUUAAAUUUACAAAAAAAGGGAGAAAGAAAAAUAAACUUGAAAGAAAGAAAGAGAAAAGAAACAGGAAAGAAAAAGAUAUAGAAACGGAAAAGAGUUUUUAAAUAUAUAUAAUUUCCUGAAUAUUCUAGGAAACAUGAAUAAUUUUGGAAAUCCCAAACAUUUUUUUGACAUUCUUUACAUUUUUACAGAAAUACACAACAAAAUUUGAAUCGUUCAAAAUUCACAGUUUAAUUUAAAAACAUGAACCAUUUAAAAUAAGAAGAACAUUUUUCGAAUUUGUGAUUGCUUUUGAAAAAAGGAAAAACAUUUUCAACACUGAGAACAAUUUUUUAAAAUGUUUUUCUUUAACCUCAGACAUUAUUCUGAAUUUGUGAAUAUUUCACUAAAAAGAGAAUAUUGUUCAUAUUUGGAACAUUUUUUAAAUGCUUUUUUUGGAAAAGCCGAAAAACUUUGGAAAGACAAAGAAAAAUGGAACAUUUAAAAAACAUCUCUACCAAUUUUGGAAUGAGAACAAAAUUUUAAUAUUCUGAACAUUUUUUCAGAAAAAUAUUUUAAAACUUUGGAUCUUUUUAAAAAAUCGAGUUUUUGGAAUAAUAUGAACUUUUCUGAAAUUUUUUGAAUUUAUGAAAAAGGGGUAAAGAAAAAUAAACUUGAAAGGAAAUAAGACAAAAGAAACGGGAAAGAAUAAAAAGAAAGAAAUGGAAAAAGAAAAAUAGAAACAUAACGCGGAACUAGAAAAAACAGUUCAGCCUAGCUAGGGGGCCCUGCGCGAAUUUGUAAAUAUUUGAUGCUCAGUGUGAUUAAUAGGAGUUUUCCACUUGCAUGGGCACAAAAUUAAUAGCGUUUGCUACUAUUUGACGCUCACUGCAAUAUAACAAAGCAAAAGAAAACGGGUCAGCCCAGCUUGGUGGCCAUGUGCGAAUUUCCUGCUAUUUGACGCUCACUACAAUAAAUAGAGUUUUGCUACUAAUGUCGGCACCAAAAUAAACAG
Triticum aestivum (bread wheat) is the source of this 3015-nucleotide long non-coding RNA. RefSeq lists it as uncharacterized. The record is from RefSeq and is a predicted model, not a curated record. Lineage: Eukaryota; Viridiplantae; Streptophyta; Magnoliopsida; Poales; Poaceae. The transcript has 3 exons.